CGAUCCGGUUAUUUCUAAAGUCUACAUCACAUUUGUGGGCAUUGGAAAUCUGUGUGGGCAUUCAUAACAAUGCCAAUGUUUUCAACAUUAUUUAUCUUUCUUUUUAUUUAUACAACUCAUAAAUAUAUAUGUCCUAAAUUUUUUGGGUUUAUAUAGGAACAGACUUAUUUACCCUAUAGGUUUAAACCGUUAUCAAUCAAGUACCCCUCAGAUUAUCCAGUCCUCGAAAUGUUGGAAGUAAUUUGCUCUACUGGCAGAUCACAGACAAACGCUUAACAACCACGGCUCGGCUCAUUGCCGCAGAGAAAGUGAUUCAGCCACUACAAUUCCGCCUCUAAGCGAAAGGAUUAUCUCUAGAACCUCCGACCACCGCCUUCAGGAGUCUCUACGAUGGAGCGCAAGCGUGAGUUCCGGGCAUCUACAAGUCCUAAAGCUGAAGGAACUUCUUCUGAAAGUGGAAUAGACAGAUUUAGUGUUCUUCCGGAGGAAGUUGCUCAUUGUAUUCUUUCCUUACUCAAUUUCAAGGACCUCACUCGGGUGGGUGCUCUGUCCAAAAGAUGCAGACAAUUUCAUCUCUCAGUUCCGGUGGUGGAUUUUGGUACAGUUUGGUGGACAGAUGAAAAAAAAAAAAUGGAUUUAGCGACGCUGAUGAUUUCUUUUGAUAGAUACUUGCAUUUUCGUGGUCA
Malus domestica (apple) is the source of this 686-nucleotide long non-coding RNA. RefSeq lists it as uncharacterized. The record is from RefSeq and is a predicted model, not a curated record. NCBI's taxonomy places the organism in Eukaryota, Viridiplantae, Streptophyta, Magnoliopsida, Rosales, Rosaceae.